UGGAAGGUGGCUGUGGAGAAAGAUAG
This 26-nucleotide non-coding RNA is filed under the name Mus musculus (house mouse). Lineage: Eukaryota; Metazoa; Chordata; Mammalia; Rodentia; Muridae. The record is from RNAcentral.